UACGAAGGGUGCAAGCGUUACUCGGAAUUACUGGGCGUAAAGGGUGCGUAGGUGGUUUGUUAAGUCUGCUGUGAAAUCCCACGGCUCAACCGUGGAACGGCUGGGUAUACUGCCUGUCUUGAGCCAACUAGGGGCGAGCGGAACAGACGGUGGAGCGGUGAAAUGCGUAGAUAUCGUCUGGAACGCCGAAGGUGAAAACAGCUCGCUGGGGUUGUGCUGACGCUGAGACACGAAAGCCAGGGGAGCGAACGGG
Molecule: ribosomal RNA, 253 nt
Filed under: uncultured bacterium
Lineage: Bacteria
Description: partial 16S ribosomal RNA
Rfam family: Bacterial small subunit ribosomal RNA
Source: RNAcentral